UACGGAGGGAGCUAGCGUUGUUCGGAAUUACUGGGCGUAAAGCGCGCGUAGGCGGUUUUGUAAGUUAGAGGUGAAAGCCCGGGGCUCAACCCCGGAACAGCCUUUAAGACUGCAUCGCUAGAAUCCGGGAGAGGUGAGUGGAAUUCCGAGUGUAGAGGUGAAAUUCGUAGAUAUUCGGAAGAACACCAGUGGCGAAGGCGGCUCACUGGACCGGCAUUGACGCUGAGGUGCGAAAGCGUGGGGAGCAAACAGG
Molecule: ribosomal RNA, 253 nt
Filed under: uncultured bacterium
Lineage: Bacteria
Description: partial 16S ribosomal RNA
Rfam family: Bacterial small subunit ribosomal RNA
Source: RNAcentral